AGACUAAAAAGAUUUUUUUUCUUACUUUUAAAGUAACUUGGGACAGUUUUUAGAGGGUUUAAGAUAUGACAUGAAUAUUUUAGGAAUCAAAAAACAUUAAUAUGAAUUCUAUCUUCUCUAUCUUUUCUCACCUGCCUUAGGAGUGUGAACUAUCUAAAUGCAAUGCUCAAAAGCAGAGAAAAAGUAAGAAAAUUGUGCUUCUCCACCAGCAAAACCACCUUCCCCAAAUAACUGAAGUUGUUACUAUAGACAGGAAAUAUAAAUGUCUAAGUGACGACUCUCUUGGAAGGUGGCUCACCCCUCCCGUGAAUGCCUGGCUGGCCAUUUUUGAUGAGUCAGAAUUACUCUUGACUGGUUCACCCCAAAGGAGAGUCUGGCUUCUCUGAACAUGGUGAAAAGUAAAUAUGGCACUUAAAGUCAGGUACCAUCUUUCAGUCAAAUCAAGAUGUUUCUGUUUCUGAACAAUUCAUUGGAUGUACACUUAGAUGAUAAAACUUAUUAUAAUGUGUCACUAAAAAGCUUAUUUUAAUAUGUCACUAAAAGAUAACUAUGCUUAUUUCACAAAAUUUAUAUAAUCUUGUGAACAGGACAUUUAAAGUACCUGUCAC
RNAcentral lists this long non-coding RNA (608 nucleotides) under Ovis aries (sheep). RNAcentral describes it as "lncRNA (ENSOARG00000026566.1)". Lineage: Eukaryota; Metazoa; Chordata; Mammalia; Artiodactyla; Bovidae. The record is from RNAcentral.